AGAGUUUGAUCCUGGCUCAGAAUCAACGCUGGCGGCGUGCCUAACACAUGCAAGUCGAACGAGAAAGUACUCUUCGGAGUGCGAGUAAAGUGGCGAACGGGUGAGUAACGCGUGGGUGAUCUGCCCUUUGGCGGGGGAUAACCCGGGGAAACCCGGGCUAAUACCGCAUAAGCCUGCAUUUGUAAGCGAGUGCAGGGAAAGUUUUCGGAUACCGAAGGAGGAGCCCGCGUCCGAUUAGCUAGUUGGUGAGGUAAGAGCUCACCAAGGCGACGAUCGGUAGCCGGUCUGAGAGGACGGACGGUCACACUGGGACUGAGACACGGCCCAGACUCCUACGGGAGGCAGCAGUGGGGAAUUUUGGGCAAUGGGCGCAAGCCUGACCCAGCAACGCCGCGUGGAGGAUGAAGGUUUUCGGAUCGUAAACUCCUGUCUAGAGGGACGAAGAAAGUGACGGUACCUCUGGAGGAAGCCCCGGCUAACUCCGUGCCAGCAGCCGCGGUAAUACGGGGGGGGCAAGCGUUGUUCGGAAUUACUGGGCGUAAAGGGCGCGUAGNCGGUUUCGGAAGUCAUGGGUGAAAGUCCUCGGCUCAACCGAGGGAUUGCCUGUGAAACCACGGAAACUGGAGUGCUGGAGAGGGAAGCGGGAAUUUCCCAGUGUAGCGGUGAAAUGCGUAGAUAUUGGGAGGAACACCUGUGGCGAAGGCGGCUUCCUGGACAGACACUGACGCUGAGGCGCGAAAGCCAGGGGAGCGAACGGGAUUAGAUACCCCGGUAGUCCUGGCUGUAAACGAUGAACACUUGGUGUGGGGGGUGAUGAAAGUCCCUCUGUGCCGGAGAGAACUCAUUAAGUGUUCCGCCUGGGGAGUACGGCCGCAAGGCUGAAACUCAAAGGAAUUGACGGGGGCCCGCACAAGCGGUGGAGCAUGUGGUUUAAUUCGACGCAACGCGAAGAACCUUACCGGGGUUUGAACUGCACCUGAGCGAUCUAGAGAUGGAGAGGUUCCCUUAGGGGACAGGUGCAGAGGUGCUGCAUGGCUGUCGUCAGCUCGUGUCGUGAGAUGUUGGGUUAAGUCCCGCAACGAGCGCAACCCUUGUCUGUAGUUGCCAUCAGGUAAUGCUGGGCACUCUACGGAGACUGUCGGCGAGAAGCCGGAGGAAGGUGGGGAUGACGUCAAGUCCUCAUGGCCUUUAUGUCCCGGGCUACACACGUGCUACAAUGGGCGGUACAGAGGGCAGCGAACCUGUGAAGGCAAGCGAAUCCCAGAAAACCGCUCUCAGUUCGGAUUGCAGUCUGCAACUCGACUGCAUGAAGUUGGAAUCGCUAGUAAUCGCGGAUCAGAACGCCGCGGUGAAUACGUUCCCGGGCCUUGUACACACCGCCCGUCACAUCACGAAAGUGGGCUGUACUAGAAGCCGCCGGCCGAACCUUCGGGACGGAGGCGUCGACGGUAUGGCUCAUGAUUGGGGUGAAGUCGUAACAAGGUA
RNAcentral lists this ribosomal RNA (1485 nucleotides) under uncultured bacterium. Its description in RNAcentral is "bacterial SSU rRNA". It matches the Rfam family "Bacterial small subunit ribosomal RNA". The record is from RNAcentral.